CCAGACUCCUACGGGAGGCAGCAGUGAGGACUCUUGGUCAAUGGCCGCCCGUCUGAACCCGCCCCGUAGCGUGCCGGCUGACGGCCCUCCGGGUUGUAAACUGCUUUUAGUUGGGAAUCACAGGGGGCUCGUGCGCCCCGUAUUGUAUGUACCAUCAGAAAAAGGACCGGCUCAUUCCGUGCCAGCAGCCGCGGUAAUACGGAAGGUCCGGGCGUUAUCCGGAUUUAUUGGGUUUAAAGGGAGCGUAGGCCGGCUUUUAAGUCAGCUGUGAAAGUCCGCGGCUCAACCGUUGAAUUGCAGUUGAAACUGGAGGCCUUGAGUGCACACAGGGAUGCCGGAAUUCAUGGUGUAGCGGUGAAAUGCUGAGAUAUCAUGAAGAACUCCGAUCGCGAAGGCAAGUGUCCGGGGUGCAACUGACGCUGAGGCUCGAAAGUGCGGGUAUCAAACAGGAUUAGAUACCCUUGUACC
Molecule: ribosomal RNA, 468 nt
Filed under: uncultured bacterium
Lineage: Bacteria
Description: bacterial SSU rRNA
Rfam family: Bacterial small subunit ribosomal RNA
Source: RNAcentral